AAAAGGACAAUCUUCUCAAUCUGAAAUUGUUAUUACAAGAAAUAAUUUAACAUGAAUCCAUAUUCAAACUCAAGAUACUAAUUGCACUUGAAAUUUUAUGAGAAUCUCAUGAAGUAUCUUAAAUGUGCCACAAAGUUUCUGCACUGGUACACAAUUGAGAAGUGGUUGUCAAAACACAAGCAAAAUACCCACAUACAAACACAAUAUAUUUUUGUACAGACAUACUGUUAUCUAUUGCAUGCAGCCAUGCCAACUUCAUGCCUCUGUG
RNAcentral lists this unclassified non-coding RNA (268 nucleotides) under Hevea brasiliensis (rubber tree). Lineage: Eukaryota; Viridiplantae; Streptophyta; Magnoliopsida; Malpighiales; Euphorbiaceae. The record is from RNAcentral.